ACGCUCGACACCUACGGGGGGCAGCAGUGGGGAAUAUUGCACAAUGGGGGAAACCCUGAUGCAGCGACGCCGCGUGAGCGAAGAAGUAUUUCGGUAUGUAAAGCUCUAUCAGCAGGGAAGAAACUGACGGUACCUGACUAAGAAGCACCGGCUAAAUACGCGCCAGCAGCCGCGGUAAUCUGAGCGGCUGGCAAGGC
RNAcentral lists this ribosomal RNA (197 nucleotides) under uncultured bacterium. RNAcentral describes it as "partial 16S ribosomal RNA". It matches the Rfam family "Bacterial small subunit ribosomal RNA", at positions 328 to 539 of the family's 1533-position model. The record is from RNAcentral.